AAUACUGUAAAACGCAACGGACUUGUUUAGGGAGGGUAUAAACCCCAUAAAUCGAGCUUUAGCUUAGUGAUGUAGGAUACAAUAGGAGUCAUUACAUUCCACCCCUAUGUCCAUGGCCACCAUAUACUAAUUGUAUCCGAGAUGGCUAAGCUAAAAAAUGAUUAAUACAUUUAUAGCCAGUAGGGUUCGGGCAUCCCGGUUUUAAGGGUAUGUUCUACUUUUACCCAAACUGGUCCUAACAAAAAUCACAAAACAAAAGAUACGCCAAAAAUAUUAAACUUAGACAAGUAAUUACCCAGUUCUUUCGUCAUCGAAGGAGACCCAUUAGCAUCGAAGGCGUGAGGGAUUGUAAAGUGAGAGCGAGAGUCCAUUAUUGGAAAGAGGGUUCGGAGGAGAUGCGACUUACGAAGGCGAGCGGGGAGAAGAACCGGUUGAGAGAGGUUAAAUCGUGUUCUGGACAACCAAGCUGGGGUUAAGGUAGAAGAAUUAAAGAUACGAUGACGAAUCGAAACCUCCAUGUAGUAGGCGGCUGCCACGGGUGGUGCUCGGAGGAGUGAGUGGCGGAGGAAGGGAAUAGCACUCCUCAACUAAAUACGUACUAUACACGUGUGCAAUUUUGAAAAUUAAAAAAGUCCAUAGGGUUUAUGGGAAUUGACUUUUUUUUUAUGUGAGCCACCUAUUCUUAAAAGAAAAUCAAAUAUGAUGAUUAGAAUAGUGAAAUAAUGGUCAAAAAAUUAAUUUUUUUUGAAGAAAAAUACUCUCCAAACGAGCUCUUAAGUUAACUUUUAAUUUUUAUUAACUUUUUAACCAUGAAUUUCACAAUUUUUUUCAAAAUUUUCUAAAAUUAUCAUUUUUAACAAAAUCAAACAGGGACUGGAAUUGUUUACUUAUGAAAGUAACUUUUACUUACUCCUUGUUUGCUCCCAUUAUUUUCAAAAGAUACAUUUUCCUAUAUUUUAAUUUCAAUCACACAUUUUUCAUAAAAUAAUAUCACACACAAAUUUAAAAUUUUUUUUUAUUUUUUAACUAUACAUUCUCCAUCAAAUUAUUAUUCCCAAAGAAUAAUAUUAUGUAACUUCACUGAGAUUGCAUCCCUAAUUUAGAUGUCAUUAGAUGAUAGAUUAAAUAAAAUGUGAAAUUAAAUAAGUAAUCUAAUUUCACUUAUUAUUUUAAUGUCACAUUACCGCCACCUAAACUGGAUUUGGAACUCCAGUGAAGCCAAAUAGAAUUACUCUGUUACAAAAUGUAUUUAUAGAGGUGUAGAAUGUAUUUUGGAAUAGUAUGAUUGAUGAAGAAUGUGUAGUUAAAAAAUAAAAAAAAUCGAUCAACGUGUAAUAUUAUUUCAUUGAAAAAUAUUUAGUUAAAAAGAAGCAAAAGAAACAUAUAUGUUGAAAUUAAUGGGCAUCAAAUAAGGGCUUGGUCUUUAAAUAAGAAUGGGGGGUGUUAUAUCCAGAAUGUACUAAACAUAGAAAUAUUGUAAAGACAAAUGUAAUAGGACCAUAGGAGUUGCAAAGUGGACAUUACACUAGCUUGGUUUUAGAGAACAAGGCAUUAAGUCCUUGUUCGAUAUCCAUUAUAAAGAUAAAUUUUGGUAAAAUAUAUUAUGAAAAUAGUAUUUUUUGGAAGAAUAUGUGGUUAAAAAUGAAUGAAAAUUUUUCUAUUUACAUGUAAUAUAAUUUUAUUGAAGAAUAUGUGGUUGAAAAGAAGAGAUAGAAAAAUGUAUUAAAAUUCUAAAGGAUGCCAAACAAAGGCAAAAAUUAGAGCUUCUUGUUUCUUAGAUUGAGCUAUUGAAGCAAUGUGCCGGACUAUAAUCGAUCACUUUUUGAAGAAAUGAUAACACAUGGAUAAGAGUUGCGAUAGAAACUUCCAUUAUUGAAAAUCAUAUCAGAAUAUAAGUUUCUUUAGGACUAUAAUCUUAUCUUAAUAACUUUUGUCGAUAACAUGCCUAAUCUUUAUCCGGAAUAAAGUUUGUUAUGUAUCAAUGAACAUUUUUAUUUCACAUGACAUAUACAAAAUGUUGGAAAUAAUCAACUUGGGUAAUUGGCACAAAACGUCCCUACCUUUCAAGUCUAUUGUGGAAAAAGUCUCUAUCUUUCAUUUUUUGACAUUUUUGCCCCUAUUUUCAAAUUUCUUUGCACUGAACGUCCUUUUUACCAAUUUUUGACAUAAAAUGACUAAAAUACCCUUCUAUUUAAAUAAAACAAAAAAGAAAAGAAAAGAAAAAUAAAAAUAAAUUGCAACUAUAAGCCUAAACUUUUAAAAAUGCAAAAAACCCCCCUAAAUAUAACUUCAUCUUCUUCCCAAACAUCACCCCCACAAUACAGCCGCCGUCCACCUCACCAACCACCGCCUGAAACAUCAUUUUUAGGCUGCCUUUUGAGCAGGUUUUGGACAAUCAGUCGGAUUUGAAUUUGCAAACUGGGAGAUGCCAGUUCGAUCAACUUACAUAACACAAAAUAAAUCCAACUUCCAAAUCAAAACUCAUGCAACAAAUCAAAAAAUUUAAAUUAAGAUCAAUAAAAAUAAAGACAAUUACCCAGUUCUUUCGUCAUCGAAGGAGACCCAUUAGCAUCGAAGGCGUGAGGGAUUGUAAAGUGAGAGCGAGAGUCCAUUAUUGGAAAGAGGGUUCGGAGGAGAUGCGACUUACGAAGGCGAGCGGGGAGAAGAACCGGUUGAGAGAGGUUAAAUCGUGUUCUGGACAACCAAGCUGGGGUUAAGGUAGAAGAAUUAAAGAUACGAUGACGAAUCGAAACCUCCAUGUAGUAGGCGGCUGCCACGGGUGGUGCUCGGAGGAGUGAGUGGCGGAGGAAGGGAAUAGCACUCCUCAACUAAAUACGUACUAUACACGUGU
RNAcentral lists this long non-coding RNA (2851 nucleotides) under Olea europaea (common olive). RNAcentral's name for it is "long non-coding RNA (OEUR_LNC011836)". Lineage: Eukaryota; Viridiplantae; Streptophyta; Magnoliopsida; Lamiales; Oleaceae. The record is from RNAcentral.